Molecule: long non-coding RNA, 298 nt
Organism: Lepidothrix coronata (blue-crowned manakin)
Lineage: Eukaryota; Metazoa; Chordata; Aves; Passeriformes; Pipridae
Exons: 3
Source: RefSeq, a predicted model, not a curated record
UGUUUUAUCCAAUGCAUUAUCUAUUCAAAGGAAUAGGAAAGGAAAACAGGGAUUAAUUCUCAGCAAUGAAGAUGUAAAGAUGUGGAGUGGACCCUGAGGAACAGGAAACUAUCGACCUGACAAAGUAUUUUGGCUAUACCUGCAGUGGACUGUUGAUGACUUAUUCAUAUUGCGAGCAGGCUUCCCUGAGCCCACUAGGAAGAGCUGUAAUGCUCAUUGCUAUUCCAUCCCAGAACAGGUCUGCUUAGCUACUGGCCACAUGAAGAAGUAAGGAAGCAGUAACCCGGGGAACAUGAGU